Molecule: ribosomal RNA, 212 nt
Filed under: uncultured bacterium
Lineage: Bacteria
Description: partial 16S ribosomal RNA
Rfam family: Bacterial small subunit ribosomal RNA
Source: RNAcentral
CAGUUCGGAUUGUAGUCUGCAACUCGACUACAUGAAGCUGGAAUCGCUAGUAAUCGCGAAUCAGAAUGUCGCGGUGAAUACGUUCCCGGGUCUUGUACACACCGCCCGUCACACCAUGGGAGUUGGGAAUGCCCAAAGCCGGUGACCUAACCGAAAGGGAGGAGCCGUCGAAGGCAGGCUUGAUAACUGGGGUGAAGUCGUAACAAGGUAGC